GCCGACGUGGCGCAAUUGGUCAGCGCGUCAGACUUUUAAUCUGAAUGUUGCGAGUUCGAGUCUCGCCGUUGGCG
Apodospora peruviana is the source of this 74-nucleotide non-coding RNA. NCBI's taxonomy places the organism in Eukaryota, Fungi, Ascomycota, Sordariomycetes, Sordariales, Lasiosphaeriaceae. The record is from the annotation of a GenBank genome assembly.